RNAcentral lists this ribosomal RNA (368 nucleotides) under uncultured organism. RNAcentral's name for it is "bacterial SSU rRNA". It matches the Rfam family "Bacterial small subunit ribosomal RNA", at positions 526 to 896 of the family's 1533-position model. The record is from RNAcentral.
CGAAGGAUGCAAGCGUUAUCCGGAUUCAUUGGGUUUAAAGGGAGCGUAGGUGGUCUUAUAAGUCAGUGGUGAAAUCUCGCAGCUUAACUGCGAAACUGCCAUUGAUACUGUAGGACUUGAGUAUAGUUGCUGUGGGCGGAAUAUGACAUGUAGUGGUGAAAUACUUAGAGAUGUCAUAGAACACCGAUUGCGAAGGCAGCUCACAAAACUAUAACUGACACUGAGGCUCGAAAGUGCGGGGAUCAAACAGGAUUAGAUACCCUGGUAGUCCGCACUGUAAACGAUGAUUACUCGCUGCUAGAAGGCAACUUUUAGUGGCUUAGCGAAAGCGAUAAGUAAUCCACCUGGGGAGUACGCCGGCAACGGUG